RNAcentral lists this ribosomal RNA (297 nucleotides) under uncultured bacterium. Its description in RNAcentral is "partial 16S ribosomal RNA". It matches the Rfam family "Bacterial small subunit ribosomal RNA", at positions 333 to 644 of the family's 1533-position model. The record is from RNAcentral.
GAGUUCCUAUGGGAGGCAGCAGUGGGGAAUAUUGGGCAAUGGGCGCAAGCCUGACCCAGCAACGCCGCGUGAAGGAAGAAGGCUUUCGGGUUGUAAACUUCUUUUCUCAGGGACGAAGCAAGUGACGGUACCUGAGGAAUAAGCCACGGCUAACUACGUGCCAGCAGCCGCGGUAAUACGUAGGUGGCAAGCGUUAUCCGGAUUUACUGGGUGUAAAGGGCGUGUAGGCGGGAAAGCAAGUCAGAUGUGAAAACCAAGGGCUCAACCUGUGGCCUGCAUUUGAAACUGGUUUUCUUG